CCUGAUCAAUGAUGAUCACUUUUCGAUGGUGACUGUUGGAUGAAACUUACGGAUAUGGGUCUGAGAUCAGUG
Molecule: small nucleolar RNA, 72 nt
Organism: Rhinichthys klamathensis goyatoka
Lineage: Eukaryota; Metazoa; Chordata; Actinopteri; Cypriniformes; Leuciscidae
Product: small nucleolar RNA SNORD99
Exons: 1
Source: RefSeq, a predicted model, not a curated record